CCUACGGGGUGCAGCAGUGGGGAAUAUUGCACAAUGGGGGAAACCCUGAUGCAGCAACGCCGCGUGAAGGAAGACGGUUUUCGGAUUGUAAACUUCUGUUCUUAGUGAAGAAUAAUGACGGUAGCUAAGGAGCAAGCCACGGCUAACUACGUGCCAGCAGCCGCGGUAAUACGCAGGUGGCAAGCGUUGUCCGGAAUUACUGGGUGUAACGGGAGCGCAGGCGGGAAGCCAAGUCAGCUGUGAAAACUACGGGCUUAACUUGUAGACUGCAGUUGAAACUGGUGUUCUUGAGUGAAGUAGGGGUUGGCGGAAGUGCGGGUGUAGCGGUGAAAUGCGUGGAUAUUCGGAGGAACACGGGUGGCGAAGGCGGCCACCUGGGCUUUAACUGACGCUGAGGCUCGAAGUGUGGGGAGCAAACAGGAUUAGAUACCCUUGUAGUC
This 440-nucleotide ribosomal RNA is filed under the name uncultured bacterium. Its description in RNAcentral is "partial 16S ribosomal RNA". It matches the Rfam family "Bacterial small subunit ribosomal RNA", at positions 338 to 795 of the family's 1533-position model. The record is from RNAcentral.